CAGUUGUAAAGUUUUCUUUCAGGAAAUUUGUGAACAGAGGAAAAAAGAUGAGAGUGGGAAGAGAAGCAAGACCCUUUGGGGGCAUAGGGUUUUUUUUUAAGUUUUGGUAGCCCCAAGAGUGGUUACGUAGUAUCUACCUGGUAUGUGUCAUCAGGCACUCGGGAGGUGUUUGAGGUUUGCAGAUAGAAGGGAGGGAAUAACUGCUACCGCAACCAAGAGCGUGGGAGGGAAAGGGGUUAAGAGCGCACAGCUGGAGAACAGCCUGGGUUAAAACAUGGGGCAUUUUCUUCCUCAUUGUCUUCAAGCCUGUUACUGAAAUUUUUUUUUUCUUUUAUCUUUUUUUUUGAGACAGAGUCUUGCUUU
RNAcentral lists this long non-coding RNA (363 nucleotides) under Homo sapiens (human). Its description in RNAcentral is "non-protein coding lnc-ADGRF3-1:1". Lineage: Eukaryota; Metazoa; Chordata; Mammalia; Primates; Hominidae. The record is from RNAcentral.